Molecule: long non-coding RNA, 1046 nt
Organism: Anopheles funestus (African malaria mosquito)
Lineage: Eukaryota; Metazoa; Arthropoda; Insecta; Diptera; Culicidae
Exons: 2
Source: RefSeq, a predicted model, not a curated record
ACGUAAAAGUAAUCGUAGUAAUCAUAAAAUCAGUCAUUACCAAGAAAUCACACUGUUGUGCUAAAAAAUGUCUCGUUUUACAACAACCCAUUCGACCGUUUAUAUUCCUCCCUGUUUGGAUUGUAAGGAAUCAAAUCAAUCUGUAAGAAAAUGUAAAGAAAGCACCGUAAAUGUCUGUAACAAGUGUACAAAAUCAUUGGAGGUGAACAGAUGUCAAAGAAGAAAAUCAAACAGUGUUAUUUUGGCUGUCGAUUCGUUGGAAUGUCUUGACUGCAAGAAAAUAGCUUCACGCGUCAUGUGCAAAUGUCACUGCACGCAGCAUAAUUGUUAUCGAUGCGUAAAAGAAAAUGUGCCGAAACUUAAACAUUGUUGCAAAUGUUCCUCUAAAGUCGAUGCAAACUGCAUUGUGGAGUGUGAAAAGCCAUGCUGUUCGAAGGAUUAUUCGUGCCAAACGCUUAACCGAGUACGAGAAUCACGAAUCAAGAAAACACUACUACCUGCCUGUCGUUGCCGUGAGCUUAAGUCACCUUCAACUGUUUCCCGCCCUGAUGAAGCCGUGUUUUGCAGUCGGAAAGUGCAGCUUGAAAAGCUACGUGACACAUCACUGCGAGGUAGUAGGCUAUGUCGUUGUAAUUGUAACCCCUGAAGACGGCUAUCGCAGUAUACGGUGUCUAGUAACGAGAGGAGAAGGACGUAAAUUUGUUUGUUAACUGAAAUUAGCUGAAAAUAAGCAUGUAUACUAAGAAAUUGUGUAAGCAACCUCUUUGGAACACCACCUACCGGACGUCAUACACCGGUCAGAAUCCUUUACGUCCGUUGGUUCCACCUCCAAAAGUCAAACUUUACAUUCCGGAACAUCGUUUGAGAUAUUUAGAACACAUGGGUACAAAAUCUCCGAUAGAACACAGGAAAUUCACUCCAUUACCCCGUACAUCUGUUGGGUCAGAAGAAUGUUGUAACUGUAUUUGGUAGGCAAAACUCCCGAAACGGAAAAUGCCUCAAACAAAUAAAUAAAAACUAAAUUAUGCCGUAAAUGGUGUAAAAUA